RNAcentral lists this ribosomal RNA (433 nucleotides) under uncultured bacterium. RNAcentral's name for it is "partial 16S ribosomal RNA". It matches the Rfam family "Bacterial small subunit ribosomal RNA", at positions 29 to 507 of the family's 1533-position model. The record is from RNAcentral.
AACGAACGCUGGCGGCAUGCCUAACACAUGCAAGUCGAACGAGACCUUCGGGUCUAGUGGCGAACGGGUGCGUAACGCGUGGGAACCUGCCCUUAGGUUCGGAAUAACUCCCCGAAAGGGGUGCUAAUACCGGAUAAUGUCUUCGGACCAAAGAUUUAUCGCCUUUGGAUGGGCCCGCGUUGGAUUAGCUAGUUGGUAGGGUAAAAGCCUACCAAGGCGACGAUCCAUAGCUGGUCUGAGAGGAUGACCAGCCACACUGGGACUGAGACACGGCCCAGACUCCUACGGGAGGAAGCAGUGGGGAAUAUUGGACGAUGGGCGAGAGACUGAUCCAGCAAUGCCGCGUGAGUGAUGAAGGCCUUAGGGUUGUAAAGCUCUUUUACCCGGGAUGAUAAUGACAGUACCGGGAGAAUAAGCUCCGGCUAACUCCGUG